This 304-nucleotide unclassified non-coding RNA is filed under the name uncultured fungus. Its description in RNAcentral is "partial contains 5.8S ribosomal RNA, internal transcribed spacer 2, and large subunit ribosomal RNA". The stretch from base 1 to 52 matches the Rfam family "5.8S ribosomal RNA", at positions 103 to 154 of the family's 154-position model. The record is from RNAcentral. Lineage: Eukaryota; Fungi.
AACGCAUCUUGCGCUCCUUGGCAUUCCGAGGAGCAUGCCUGUUUGAGUGUCGUGAACUACUCUCAAUUUCAAUCUUUUUUUAUAUUUGGCUUGAAAUUGGACUUGGGUGUUGCCGUGAAAAAGUCUAUUUCAUAGCUCAUCCUAAAUGCAUUAGCGAUCUUACCCCCUUGAUCACACACAAUGUGAUAAGAAAAAAGCAUUGUUUUUAAAGGUCAAUGUGGUUUGGAUAGCUUCUAAUCGUCGAAAGACAAGCACCUUCAUGUCAUUUGACCUCAAAUCAGGUAGGACUACCCGCUGAACUUAA